RNAcentral lists this ribosomal RNA (484 nucleotides) under uncultured bacterium. Its description in RNAcentral is "partial 16S ribosomal RNA". It matches the Rfam family "Bacterial small subunit ribosomal RNA", at positions 30 to 507 of the family's 1533-position model. The record is from RNAcentral.
AUUGAACGCUGGCGGCAGGCCUAACACAUGCAAGUCGAGCGGAUGAAGGGAGCUUGCUCCUGGAUUCAGCGGCGGACGGGUGAGUAAUGCCUAGGAAUCUGCCUGGUAGUGGGGGAUAACGUCCGGAAACGGGCGCUAAUACCGCAUACGUCCUGAGGGAGAAAGUGGGGGAUCUUCGGACCUCACGCCAUCAGAUGAGCCUAGGUCGGAUUAGCUAGUUGGUGGGGUAAAGGCCUACCAAGGCGACGAUCCGUAACUGGUCUGAGAGGAUGAUCAGUCACACUGGAACUGAGACACGGUCCAGACUCCUACGGGAGGCAGCAGUGGGGAAUAUUGGACAAUGGGCGAAAGCCUGAUCCAGCCAUGCCGCGUGUGUGAAGAAGGUCUUCGGAUUGUAAAGCACUUUAAGUUGGGAGGAGGGGCAGUAAGUUAAUACCUUGCUGUUUUGACGUUACCAACAGAAUAAGCACCGGCUAACUUCGUG